UACGUAGGUCCCGAGCGUUGUCCGGAUUUAUUGGGCGUAAAGCGAGCGCAGGUGGUUUAUUAAGUCUGGUGUAAAAGGCAGUGGCUCAACCAUUGUAUGCAUUGGAAACUGGUAGACUUGAGUGCAGGAGAGGAGAGUGGAAUUCCAUGUGUAGCGGUGAAAUGCGUAGAUAUAUGGAGGAACACCGGUGGCGAAAGCGAUUCUCUGGACUGUAACUGACGCUGAGGCUCGAAAGCGUGGGGAGCAAACAGG
Molecule: ribosomal RNA, 252 nt
Filed under: uncultured bacterium
Lineage: Bacteria
Description: partial 16S ribosomal RNA
Rfam family: Bacterial small subunit ribosomal RNA
Source: RNAcentral